This 601-nucleotide long non-coding RNA is filed under the name Musa acuminata (dwarf banana). RNAcentral's name for it is "long non-coding RNA (MACU_LNC002917)". Lineage: Eukaryota; Viridiplantae; Streptophyta; Magnoliopsida; Zingiberales; Musaceae. The record is from RNAcentral.
GGGAGCGCUUGUGCACGAUCAUCAUGGUGAACCAGGGGAUGCUGCCCGACAGCACACCCAUCACUAUGGCGGCCCAUCCCUGCACCAAACCUGAGUAAUAACAGAGCUUUUGAGAUCCAUUUCUCUGCUAAUCCAAAGAACAGGUAAGUAACUAAUGCUCAAAUGUUCUCAGACUUUUCAUGCAGAGUUAAAGAGGUAAUUGGUGGUUCAAAGAAGCUGAAGCAGGAAGAUGUAAUCAUGAUGGUGGCAGACAAUUCAAUGAAUUCUGCUACUGAUGAGGAUGAUAUCUCCCUUUACUGGUACAGUAAGACAUCCCAAUCAAGCCAGCCUUUUGAAACCAUCUUCCACUUCUAUGCACUCCGAUUGGAUGUUUCAGAAGGGAGGAAAGCAGUCGGAAACAGCUGCAUCAGACAACUGAGAAGAUGCUGGCGAUGAUGCAUUAACACUAAAGCAUUUCCCCGAGACUCACGUCAACCAUGAAAAGCGAUGGCUGCUGUGGGCGGUUUUAUAUCUUCUGGAAAUCUUUCUCCAACUUUGAAAAGUCCAAAGGAAAUCACCAGUGAAGAUGACUUCUUUCACAAGAGUAUCGUGAAUCAUCCAG